UUUCAGCUUGUUGGUGGGGUAAUGGCCUACCAAGGCGACGACGGGUAGCCGGCCUGAGAGGGCGACCGGCCACACUGGGACUGAGACACGGCCCAGACUCCUACGGGAGGCAGCAGUGGGGAAUAUUGCACAAUGGGCGAAAGCCUGAUGCAGCGACGCCGCGUGAGGGAUGACGGCCUUCGGGUUGUAAACCUCUUUCAGCAGGGAAGAAGCGAAAGUGACGGUACCUGCAGAAGAAGCGCCGGCUAACUACGUGCCAGCAGCCGCGGUAAUACGUAGGGCGCAAGCGUUGUCCGGAAUUAUUGGGCGUAAAGAGCUCGUAGGCGGCUUGUCACGUCGGGUGUGAAAGCCCGGGGCUUAACCCCGGGUCUGCAUCCGAUACGGGCAGGCUAGAGUGUGGUAGGGGAGAUCGGAAUUCCUGGUGUAGCGGUGAAAUGCGCAGAUAUCAGGAGGAACACCGGUGGCGAAGGCGGAUCUCUGGGCCAUUACUGACGCUGAGGAGCGAAAGCGUGGGGAGCGAACAGGAUUAGAUACCCUGGUAGUCCACGCCGUAAACGUUGGGAACUAGGUGUUGGCGACAUCCACGUCGUCGUCCGCAGCACGCCCUGUACCC
RNAcentral lists this ribosomal RNA (613 nucleotides) under Streptomyces sp. E83(2010). RNAcentral's name for it is "bacterial SSU rRNA". It matches the Rfam family "Bacterial small subunit ribosomal RNA", at positions 239 to 869 of the family's 1533-position model. The record is from RNAcentral. Lineage: Bacteria; Bacillati; Actinomycetota; Actinomycetes; Kitasatosporales; Streptomycetaceae.